GUGAAAAUUAUGAGGAAAAAUAAUGAUCAUGAUAAAAUACACAUUCCAAAAAAAAUAAAAUAACAAAACUCCAAGAAAAAAUCAAAACGAAAAAAUCCCUUAUCAAAUGACGAAAUCAAAAGCUGAAAAACAUCAAAAGAAUGAUAAACAGCUGUCAUAUUCUUGACUUGGUACAUACAAUACAUGUAGUAUAGUGUACUCUGCGUUGUGUAAAUGUGUUACUUGUUUGCUCAGCAAGUCGGACAAACCUUGCAAACUGUUAACCCGAAUAAUUCAGUCGUUAUAUUCCGCUUACUACAUUAAGUAAGUAGGAGAGAUCGAUUACGGGGAGGGACUGAAUUAUUCGGGUUAGCAAACUGUAUGCAAAAUUUCACAAAUUUCAACAUUCUGUCAUUUGUGAAAAAUUAUUUACAUAACAAAUCUUGAGAUCAUAUAUGCAUUCUUUAUAUAAGUAAAACAACUGCGAAAUUUAAAAGUUCCAGCUUGAAAUUCAACCUGUAUCAGAUGUAAGCCUGAGUCUGUACUCUGUGUGCCUUUGUAUUUUUAUCAAAAUGCCUAAUCCAGCAGCCUGUCAUGAAACAAAAAAGAAACUCCAGACGAUAUGCGCA
RNAcentral lists this long non-coding RNA (608 nucleotides) under Mytilus galloprovincialis (Mediterranean mussel). The record is from RNAcentral. Lineage: Eukaryota; Metazoa; Mollusca; Bivalvia; Mytilida; Mytilidae.